Long non-coding RNA from Rhipicephalus sanguineus (brown dog tick), 688 nucleotides. RefSeq lists it as uncharacterized. Lineage: Eukaryota; Metazoa; Arthropoda; Arachnida; Ixodida; Ixodidae. The record is from RefSeq and is a predicted model, not a curated record. The transcript has 3 exons.
GAGAGGCCACUGUCAUAUUCGAAGUAACCUUAUAUUUGUCUGAGAAAAGCAUCGAGUCGUGUGUCAGAAGCUUGCUGGCCCAGUUCUUUGUGUCGGGACAAAGCAGUGAUGAUUCGAUUUAUUCUGUUGUACAGUACGCUGCAUCUUUUUCUGGUGUUUCAGAACGUGCCUGGUCAGUCAGUCAGUACCUACAGCGUUAAUACCACUGAUGGAGAAAAAUGCACUUACAACGGCAGUGACUAUGGGCCAGGAGAAAACAGCACGCCUGGUUUCUGUGGCCUGACAAGCUGUGACCCAAAAGAAAACGAGCUGACGAUCGUCACGUGUUCAUAUUCUACACCUCCGCCGCCAUGUGUGUUGCUACCGCCCACUGGCAACGAAUACCCAUCCUGCUGUCCUGAUUAUGUAUGUUGACAUAAUGAACCAUCAUUACAUAUAUGAAAGACUGGGUCGGUGAACACAGUGAGACAUGGGCGACAAGUGGAUCAUAUCAAUGAAAAUAUCUUCCAGAGCGAUUGAUGACCAAUUCCGGUUAUAACGGUAAAGAAAAAAUGGCUGAACAUAAUCAGUCCGGUUCUAUAAAUCAACGAGCUUAUCUAUUUAUUGAAACGGCCAACACAGGACAGGACGUCUCGUUAUAUUGUAAUAUUAUAAUAAAUUAUGUAGUUAAAGCAAACUAUUCAAUGAA